AAGUAGGAGGGCGCGGACUCUACCUCGCUCAUUUGCUAGUAGCAGCGGUGAGAGGAGAGUGGUCGCUGCGCUGCAUUUGCCCUUCCCCCUUCUUGGCCUCCGAUCCCCGGGCUGGGUGCCCGUCUGUCGCCUCUACGGAGCCCGUGAAUCUUCUGCGAUCUCGUUACACGGCCUGUAGCUUUCCACCUUUGUGGCCUGAAGGUUGAGGCCCGCUUCGGCGUCUAUUCCCUGGCUUGAGGGGCCUCCCAGGCCAGAUCCGGUACCGACUCUCCUGAUCUGUUCGCCAGGUUUCUCUCCUCAGUCCCGCCGCCCCUCGGGGGCCUCUGCCCGCCAUGAGCUACGGGCGCCCCCCGCCUGAUGUGGAGGGCAUGACUUCCCUGAAGGUGGAUAACCUGACCUACCGCACGUCUCCAGACACGUUAAGACGGGUCUUCGAGAAGUACGGGCGGGUGGGGGACGUCUACAUCCCCCGGGACCGCUACACCAAGGAGAGCCGCGGCUUUGCCUUCGUCCGCUUCCACGACAAGCGCGAUGCCGAGGAUGCGAUGGACGCCAUGGACGGCGCAGUGCUGGACGGCCGAGAGCUCCGCGUCCAGAUGGCCCGUUACGGGAGGCCCCCGGACUCCCAUCACAGCCGCCGGGGGCCGCCGCCGCGCCGAUACGGAGGUGGCGGCUACGGACGCCGCAGCCGCAGCCCCAGAAGACGCCGCCGCAGCCGAUCCAGGAGCAGGAGCCGCUCUAGGUCCCGCAGUCGAUCCCGCUACAGUCGGUCCAAGUCCAGAUCCCGCACACGCUCGCGAUCUCGCUCGACCUCUAAGUCUAGGUCUGCCAGGAGAUCCAAAUCCAAGUCGUCAUCCGUCUCCAGAUCCCGAUCCAGGUCGAGGUCCAGAUCCAGGUCUAGAAGUCCCCCACCAGUCUCAAAGAGGGAAUCUAAAUCCAGAUCCAGGUCUAAGAGCCCCCCCAAAUCUCCCGAAGAGGAAGGAGCUGUAUCCUCUUAGGAAAAUGGUAAUGUAGCUGGAAUGCUAUGCAAUUUGCAUGUUACUUCAUAAUAGCCCUUAAGUGGGGUGUAUCGGGGUAGUUCUUACCAUAUUAACCUGAAUCAAGUGACUCGUAAUGGGAGACACUGUUCGCUUUUUGAGCAGACUUUUCAGUUAUUUGGCUAGGGAAAUAAAUUUUUGCAGAGGACAUAUUUUUAUGUUUUGUUGAGAGAUUAAUGGUUUGGUUUUAAUGAAAUAUUGUAUGAGACGCAACCUAUUAAUGAAAAUGACUUUCUUGCUGUUUUUUAUCCAACAUCUGCAUUUUCCCCUUUAAAGCUGCGGUCUCCUGUUUGCUAAAAGAAUAUUGGCCAGUAUUGCAGAUUUUAACUGAUUUGGCUGAUCCUCCAGGGACCAGUUUCUGUGGGCGUGUAUUGGAGCAGAUGCAUCAGAUAAAUGAGAAAUCUACAUAAAGGACGCCUCUGGGGGAAAAGAUCCUAUGAAUCUUCAGUCCAUUGGAGAGACCCCAGGCACAAGCAACCAGCUGUUGAAAAGGUUAUUUUGUAACAUUUUUGUCUAACUUUUUACUUGUUUAAGUUGAGCCUCAAAUGGCAGACUUUACAUUUUAUGUGCCAUUUUGUUGCUGUUAUUCAAAUUUCUUGUAAUUUAGUGAAGUGAACGACUACCGAUUUCAUUAUUGGCUUGGAUAUUUGAGGUAAAUUUUCAUUUUUGUUUAUAUAGUGCUGGCUUUUGUUUGACUUUAAAAAAAACUGAUGGUAACUUAAUUUGUUGCCUCAAGUUUCAUGUUGCGGAAACAUGCAGCCAUUACAUGCCGAGUAGCUGACUGUCAAGGAAGUGUUCUCAAUUUGCCUUCAUUCCUUAAAUAAAAUUCUGCAAAACUUUUUCAGAUGUAAACUUCUUGUAAAUGCUAUUUGCUUUGAAUUUAAAUAGUAUCGUCUAUUCCAAAUUUGUAUAAAACUUUUCAGGUGACAGUUGAUUUUGAAAGGAUUGUUUUAUCAGACUCAAUUCUAAUCUCUUCUCUUAUGUAUUUUUGUGCACUAGGCGCAGUUGUGUAGCAGUUGAGUAAUGCUGGUUAGCUGUUAAGGUGGCGUGUUGCAGUGCAGAGUGCUUGGCUGUUUCCUGUUUUCUCCUGAUUGCUCCUGUGUAACGAUGCCUUGUCGUGCAGAAACAAAUGGCUGUCCAGUUAAUUAAAAUGCCUGACAACUGCACUUCCAGUCACCCGGGCCUUGCAUAAAAAUAAUGGAGCAUACAGUGAGCACAUCUAGCUGAUGAUAUACACACCUUAUUUUUUCCAGAAUGGUAAAUCUUACCAUCUUCUUUUAUGAACUUGCAUAUAAGAAAUGUAAUGUUAAGAGCAAAUGUUUCAUUCCUUUGUAAGUACUGAUUGGUGUAUCUUUUGCUUAUGACAUUAUGUACUAUAACCACUGUCCCUGUAGUUAUUAAACAUUUUUCUUGGUGUUAACUUUUCUCAA
This is an RNA transcript of Trachemys scripta elegans, 2467 nucleotides long. It is a transcript of the gene named serine and arginine rich splicing factor 2, with no coding region annotated. The transcript has 3 exons. The record is from RefSeq and is a predicted model, not a curated record. Lineage: Eukaryota; Metazoa; Chordata; Testudines; Emydidae.